UGGGGAAUAUUGCACAAUGGGCGCAAGCCUGAUGCAGCAACGCCGCGUGAACGAUGAAGGUCUUCGGAUCGUAAAGUUCUGUUGCAGGGGAAGAUAAUGACGGUACCCUGUGAGGAAGCCCCGGCUAACUACGUGCCAGCAGCCGCGGUAAUACGUAGGGGGCUAGCGUUAUCCGGAUUUACUGGGCGUAAAGGGUGCGUAGGUGGUCUUUCAAGUCGGUGGUUAAAGGCUACGGCUCAACCGUAGUUAGCCUCCGAAACUGGAAGACUUUAGUGCAGGAGAGGAAAGUGGAAUUCCCAGUGUAGCGGUGAAAUGCGUAGAUAUUGGGAGGAACACCAGUAGCGAAGGCGGCUUUCUGGACUGCAACUGACACUGAGGCACGAAAGCGUGGGUAGCAAACAGG
This 403-nucleotide ribosomal RNA is filed under the name Verrucomicrobiota bacterium. RNAcentral's name for it is "Verrucomicrobia bacterium partial 16S ribosomal RNA". It matches the Rfam family "Bacterial small subunit ribosomal RNA", at positions 355 to 776 of the family's 1533-position model. Lineage: Bacteria; Pseudomonadati; Verrucomicrobiota. The record is from RNAcentral.